UACGGAAGGCAGCAGUGGGGAAUAUUGCACAAUGGGCGCAAGCCUGAUGCAGCCAUGCCGCGUGUAUGAAAAAGGCCUUCGGGUUGUAAAGUACUUUCAGUCGUGAGGAAGGUGUUAAGGUUAAUAACCUUAGCAAUUGACGUUAGCGACAGAAGAAGCACCGGCUAACUCCGUGCCAGCAGCCGCGGUAAUACGGAGGGUGCGAGCGUUAAUCGGAAUUACUGGGCGUAAAGGGCACGCAGGCGGUUAAUUAAGUUGGAUGUGAAAUCCCCGGGCUUAACCUGGGAAUGGCAUUCAAGCUGGUUAGCUAGAGUCUUGUAGAGGGGGGUAGAAUUCCAUGUGUAGCGGUGAAAUGCGUAGAGAUGUGGAGGGAAUACCGGUGGCGAAGGCGGCCCCUGGACAAAGACUGACGCUCAUGUGCGAAAGCGUGGGGAGCAAAACAGGGA
RNAcentral lists this ribosomal RNA (446 nucleotides) under uncultured bacterium. RNAcentral describes it as "bacterial SSU rRNA". It matches the Rfam family "Bacterial small subunit ribosomal RNA", at positions 340 to 778 of the family's 1533-position model. The record is from RNAcentral.